RNAcentral lists this ribosomal RNA (515 nucleotides) under uncultured bacterium. Its description in RNAcentral is "bacterial SSU rRNA". It matches the Rfam family "Bacterial small subunit ribosomal RNA", at positions 23 to 518 of the family's 1533-position model. The record is from RNAcentral.
CUUAGAACGAACGCUGGCGGCGUGCUUAACACAUGCAAGUCGAACGCGAAAGGGACUUCGGUCCUGAGUAAAGUGGCGCACGGGUGAGUAACGCGUAGAUAACCUGUCUUCAUGUCUGGAAUAAUACGCCGAAAGGGGUACUAAUACCGGAUAUUCUUGCUUUUCAUAAGUUAUGCAAGCAAAGGUGGCCUCUGCAUGUGCUACUGCAUGAAGAGGGGUCUGCGUACCAUUAGCUAGUAGGUGGGGUAAUGGCCUACCUAGGCGACGAUGGUUAGCGGGUCUGAGAGGAUGAUCCGCCACACUGGCACUGGAACACGGGCCAGACUCCUACGGGAGGCAGCAGUGAGGAAUAUUGCGCAAUGGGGGAAACCCUGACGCAGCGACGCCGCGUGAGUGAGGAAGGCCUUCGGGUCGUAAAGCUCUGUCAAGAGGAAAGAAGUGUACAAUGGCUAAUACCUGUUGUAUUUGACGGUACCUCUAAAGGAAGCACCGGCUAACUCCGUGCCAGCCGCCGC